CAUUGUUAGUCGUGUGCCUGCUCUGUGAUGUGCUGCCAGUUAGAGAGGCUGGAAGGAAACAAGAGCACAAAGGCCGAUAAUAGGAGCUUCUGCUACGACUGACAAAAGACAAAGAAUAAACUCCAUGUAAUUUCAAUGAAGAGGAAAAUGAAGAUGAUAAUAAACUUUGAAUGAUAUGUUCAUGGUCAUCUUACUGUCCAGCCACAGGGCUUCAGCCAGCAGAGGGCGUGCUUGACCCACCAACACCAAGUCAUCAAUUGGUAUAAUACAUAAAUCUGGAAACCAAGAAAAGGCAGUAGGAGUGGUUCCAUUUAACAUUACUCUAAAUGACCGAUUUUGGAGAGUCUGUAUUUCCUCUUGAUGUGACUCUUGGUUCUGUAGGUUUAGAAGUCUUGAAUCACA
RNAcentral lists this long non-coding RNA (402 nucleotides) under Sus scrofa (pig). RNAcentral describes it as "lncRNA (ENSSSCG00070021964.1)". Lineage: Eukaryota; Metazoa; Chordata; Mammalia; Artiodactyla; Suidae. The record is from RNAcentral.